This 353-nucleotide unclassified non-coding RNA is filed under the name soil metagenome. RNAcentral's name for it is "partial contains 5.8S ribosomal RNA, internal transcribed spacer 2, and large subunit ribosomal RNA". The stretch from base 1 to 120 matches the Rfam family "5.8S ribosomal RNA", at positions 35 to 154 of the family's 154-position model. The record is from RNAcentral.
GAUGAAGAACGCAGCGAAAUGCGAUAAGUAAUGUGAAUUGCAGAAUUCAGUGAAUCAUCGAAUCUUUGAACGCACAUUGCGCCCGCCAGUAUUCUGGCGGGCAUGCCUGUUCGAGCGUCAUUACAACCCUCAGGCCCCCGGGCCUGGCGUUGGGGAUCGGCGGAAGCCCCCUGCGGGCACAACGCCGUCCCCCAAAUACAGUGGCGGUCCCGCCGCAGCUUCCAUUGCGUAGUAGCUAACACCUCGCAACUGGAGAGCGGCGCGGCCACGCCAUAAAACACCCAACUUCUGAAUGUUGACCUCGAAUCAGGUAGGAAUACCCGCUGAACUUAAGCAUAUCAAUAAGCGGAGGA